This 484-nucleotide ribosomal RNA is filed under the name uncultured bacterium. RNAcentral's name for it is "partial 16S ribosomal RNA". It matches the Rfam family "Bacterial small subunit ribosomal RNA", at positions 30 to 507 of the family's 1533-position model. The record is from RNAcentral.
AUUGAACGCUGGCGGCAGGCCUAACACAUGCAAGUCGAGCGGAUGAAGGGAGCUUGCUCCUGGAUUCAGCGGCGGACGGGUGAGUAAUGCCUAGGAAUCUGCCUGGUAGUGGGGGAUAACGUCCGGAAACGGGCGCUAAUACCGCAUACGUCCUGAGGGAGAAAGUGGGGGAUCUUCGGACCUCACGCUAUCAGAUGAUCCUAGGUCGGAUUAGCUAGUUGGUGGGGUAAAGGCCUACCAAGGCGACGAUCCGUAACUGGUCUGAGAGGAUGAUCAGUCACACUGGAACUGAGACACGGUCCAGACUCCUACGGGAGGCAGCAGUGGGGAAUAUUGGACAAUGGGCGAAAGCCUGAUCCAGCCAUGCCGCGUGUGUGAAGAAGGUCUUCGGAUUGUAAAGCACUUUAGUUUGGGAAGAAAAGCAGUAAGUUAAUACCUUGCUGUUUUGACGUUACCAACAGAAUAAGCACCGGCUAACUUCGUG